CCCUUAGAGUUUGAUCCUGGCUCAGAAUGAACGUUGGCGGCGUGGAUUAGGCAUGCAAGUCGAGCGAGAACCCAGCAAUGGGGGACAGCGGCGAAAGGGACAGUAAUGUGUAGAUUAUCUGCCCUCAGGUCCGGGAUAGCUGCGGGAAACUGCAGGUAAUACCGGAUAACAUCUCCGGAUCAAAGGUGUGAUUCCGCCUGAGGAUGAGUCUACAUCCUAUUAGCUAGUUGGCAGGGUAAUGGCCUACCAAGGCUUUGAUGGGUAGCGGGUGUGAGAGCACGACCCGCGUCAUUGGGACUGAGACACUGCCCAGACACCUACGGGCGGCUGCAGUCGAGAAUCUUCGGCAAUGGGCGCAAGCCUGACCGAGCGACGCCGCGUGCGGGAUGAAGGCCUUCGGGUUGUAAACCGCUGUCAGAGGGGAUGAAAUGCAGGUGGGUUCUCCCAUCUGUUUGACAUAGCCUCAGAGGAA
RNAcentral lists this ribosomal RNA (472 nucleotides) under uncultured bacterium. RNAcentral's name for it is "bacterial SSU rRNA". It matches the Rfam family "Bacterial small subunit ribosomal RNA", at positions 1 to 489 of the family's 1533-position model. The record is from RNAcentral.